This 1097-nucleotide ribosomal RNA is filed under the name Vibrio gallicus. Its description in RNAcentral is "bacterial SSU rRNA". It matches the Rfam family "Bacterial small subunit ribosomal RNA", at positions 86 to 1179 of the family's 1533-position model. The record is from RNAcentral. Lineage: Bacteria; Pseudomonadati; Pseudomonadota; Gammaproteobacteria; Vibrionales; Vibrionaceae.
GGGCGUCGAGCGGCGGACGGGUGAGUAAUGCCUGGGAAAUUGCCCUGAUGUGGGGGAUAACCAUUGGAAACGAUGGCUAAUACCGCAUAAUAGCUUCGGCUCAAAGAGGGGGACCUUCGGGCCUCUCGCGUCAGGAUAUGCCCAGGUGGGAUUAGCUAGUUGGUGAGGUAAGGGCUCACCAAGGCAACGAUCCCUAGCUGGUCUGAGAGGAUGAUCAGCCACACUGGAACUGAGACACGGUCCAGACUCCUACGGGAGGCAGCAGUGGGGAAUAUUGCACAAUGGGCGCAAGCCUGAUGCAGCCAUGCCGCGUGUAUGAAGAAGGCCUUCGGGUUGUAAAGUACUUUCAGUCGUGAGGAAGGUUCAUACGUUAAUAGCGUAUGGAUUUGACGUUAGCUGCAGAAGAAGCACCGGCUAACUCCGUGCCAGCAGCCGCGGUAAUACGGAGGGUGCGAGCGUUAAUCGGAAUUACUGGGCGUAAAGCGCAUGCAGGUGGUUUGUUAAGUCAGAUGUGAAAGCCCGGGGCUCAACCUCGGAAUUGCAUUUGAAACUGGCAGACUAGAGUACUGUAGAGGGGGGUAGAAUUUCAGGUGUAGCGGUGAAAUGCGUAGAGAUCUGAAGGAAUACCGGUGGCGAAGGCGGCCCCCUGGACAGAUACUGACACUCAGAUGCGAAAGCGUGGGGAGCAAACAGGAUUAGAUACCCUGGUAGUCCACGCCGUAAACGAUGUCUACUUGGAGGUUGUGGCCUUGAGCCGUGGCUUUCGGAGCUAACGCGUUAAGUAGACCGCCUGGGGAGUACGGUCGCAAGAUUAAAACUCAAAUGAAUUGACGGGGGCCCGCACAAGCGGUGGAGCAUGUGGUUUAAUUCGAUGCAACGCGAAGAACCUUACCUACUCUUGACAUCCAGAGAACUUUCCAGAGAUGGAUUGGUGCCUUCGGGAACUCUGAGACAGGUGCUGCAUGGCUGUCGUCAGCUCGUGUUGUGAAAUGUUGGGUUAAGUCCCGCAACGAGCGCAACCCUUAUCCUUGUUUGCCAGCGAGUAAUGUCGGGAACUCCAGGGAGACUGCCGGUGAUAAACCGGAGGAAGGUGGGGA